CAACACAUCACGGGGAGCUCGCGCGUUCAGCGGGCUGAGAGGGUUACUGCGGUAACCGACCCGAAAACCUGAUCUGGGUAAUGCCAGCGGAGGAAUCGACACAUGGCUAGUGG
This 113-nucleotide non-coding RNA is filed under the name actinobacterium acAcidi. RNAcentral's name for it is "Actinobacterium acAcidi TPP sequence". It matches the Rfam family "TPP riboswitch aptamer (THI element)". From Rfam's summary of the family: Vitamin B(1) in its active form thiamin pyrophosphate (TPP) is an essential coenzyme that is synthesised by coupling of pyrimidine and thiazole moieties in bacteria. The previously detected thiamin-regulatory element, thi box was extended, resulting in a new, highly conserved RNA secondary structure, the THI element, which is widely distributed in eubacteria and also occurs in some archaea. Lineage: Bacteria; Bacillati; Actinomycetota; Actinomycetes. The record is from RNAcentral.